UCUGAAUCUGCGAACGGCUCCGCAAACCAGUUGUAAACCAUAGCAAGCCUGCUCGGGCUGGGCCUCGCGGUCCGGCCCGGGCGAAACGGAUAACCCUGGUAAUUCUGAGGCUAAUACGUGUAUGGAACACCCGGUGGACUGGCUUCGGCCGGGAAGCCGGGAGACGAGUAACAUUGCUUGGGUUAUCCAGGAAAGGGCGCUCGCCUUGACCGCGUUAUAAAGGACGGCCCUCACGGGCUUUCCCAGCGGCUCUUGCGCGGUGCUUCUGACCUAUCAACUAGAUGGCAGCGUAACGGACAUGCUAUGGU
This 308-nucleotide ribosomal RNA is filed under the name Lamproderma scintillans. RNAcentral describes it as "bacterial SSU rRNA". It matches the Rfam family "Eukaryotic small subunit ribosomal RNA", at positions 80 to 350 of the family's 1831-position model. Lineage: Eukaryota; Evosea; Eumycetozoa; Stemonitida; Stemonitidae. The record is from RNAcentral.